RNAcentral lists this ribosomal RNA (454 nucleotides) under uncultured bacterium. Its description in RNAcentral is "partial 16S ribosomal RNA". It matches the Rfam family "Bacterial small subunit ribosomal RNA", at positions 28 to 507 of the family's 1533-position model. The record is from RNAcentral.
GAUGAACGCUGACAGAAUGCUUAACACAUGCAAGUCUACUUGAACUUCGGUUUGGGUGGCGGACGGGUGAGUAACGCGUAAAGAACUUGCCUCACAGUUAGGGACAACAUUUGGAAACGAAUGCUAAUACCUGAUAUUAUGAUUUUAGGGCAUCCUAGGAUUAUGAAAGCUAUAUGUGCUGUGAGAGAGCUUUGCGUCCCAUUAGCUAGUUGGAGAGGUAACGGCUCACCAAGGCGAUGAUGGGUAGCCGGCCUGGGAGGGUGAACGGCCACAAGGGGACGGAGACACGGCCCGUACUCCUACGGGAGGCAGCAGUGGGGAAUAUUGGACAAUGGACCAAAAGUCUGAUCCAGCAAUUCUGUGUGCACGAUGACGUUUUUCGGAAUGUAAAGUGCUUUCAGUUGGGAAGAAAAAAAUGACGGUACCAACAGAAGAAGUGACGGCUAAAUACGUG